Molecule: ribosomal RNA, 484 nt
Filed under: uncultured bacterium
Lineage: Bacteria
Description: partial 16S ribosomal RNA
Rfam family: Bacterial small subunit ribosomal RNA
Source: RNAcentral
GACGAACGCUGGCGGCGUGCUUAACACAUGCAAGUCGAACGAUGAAGCUAGAGCUUGCUCUGGUGAAUUAGUGGCGAACGGGUGAGUAACACGUGAGUAACCUGCCCCGAACUCUGGGAUAACUGCUGGAAACGGUAGCUAAUACUGGAUACGACCCACGAAGGCAUCUUCUGUAGGUGGAAAGAAUUUCGGUUCGGGAUGGACUCGCGGCCUAUCAGCUUGUUGGUGAGGUAAUGGCUCACCAAGGCGAAGACGGGUAGCCGGCCUGAGCGGCUGACCGGCCACACUGGGACUGAGACACAGCCCAGACUCCUACGGGAGGCAGCAGUGGGGAAUAUUGCACAAUGGGCGCAAGCCUGAUGCAGCAACGCCGCGUGAGGGAUGACGGCCUUCGGGUUGUAAACCUCUUUUAGUAGGGAAGAAGCGAAAGUGACGGUACCUGCAGAAAAAGCACCGGCUAACUACGUGCCAGCCGCCGCAGUAA